GCCAUGCGCGAAUCCUUACAAAGCCAGACACACGGGUGUUGUCGUGCGUUGAACAGAGGAGAGUCGGUUAAAAUUCUCCCUGUGGCAAGUAAAGGGUGUGAACUUGGCUUCCUGUCCUGGCCAUGUCUGCUGUCUGCAGCUUGUGGCCACGCCUCUCCACCCUGAUAGACAUGAAUCCCUCUGGAGCCAUAAGCUAGGAUUCCCUCUUCCUUCAGUUGCUUUGGUCAUGACCUCUACCAGCCACAGAAAAGUAGGCAUUGUGGCAUGUAUUUGCAACCUUAGCCCCCAGGAGACCAAGAUAAGAGAACCAAGAGUUUGGGGUCAGCCUGGGCUACACAGGGAGACUCUGUCUUCCAACUUGCUCUGCAGAAAAGGUUCUCGGUGAAUCAGAGACUUCGAAUCUCAGUUAUGUUGAUGGCAGCAAAGGCACAGGAUCUACACGUCUCUGUCCCAUAAUGCCAGAGCUGCAGGCACCUGCAGCCAUGCCUGGCU
Long non-coding RNA from Mus caroli (Ryukyu mouse), 492 nucleotides. RefSeq lists it as uncharacterized. Lineage: Eukaryota; Metazoa; Chordata; Mammalia; Rodentia; Muridae. The record is from RefSeq and is a predicted model, not a curated record.